UUUAUGGAGAGUUUGAUCCUGGCUCAGGAUGAACGCUGGCGGCGUGCCUAAUACAUGCAAGUCGAGCGAACAGACGAGGAGCUUGCUCCUUUGACGUUAGCG
RNAcentral lists this ribosomal RNA (102 nucleotides) under Staphylococcus hominis. Its description in RNAcentral is "partial 16S ribosomal RNA". It matches the Rfam family "Bacterial small subunit ribosomal RNA", at positions 1 to 97 of the family's 1533-position model. Lineage: Bacteria; Bacillati; Bacillota; Bacilli; Caryophanales; Staphylococcaceae. The record is from RNAcentral.